AUUGAACGCUGGCGGCAGGCCUAACACAUGCAAGUCGAGCGGAUGAAGGGAGCUUGCUCCUGGAUUCAGCGGCGGACGGGUGAGUAAUGCCUAGGAAUCUGCCUGGUAGUGGGGGAUAACGUCCGGAAACGGGCGCUAAUACCGCAUACGUCCUGAGGGAGAAAGUGGGGGAUCUUCGGACCUCACGCUAUCAGAUGAGCCUAGGUCGGAUUAGCUAGUUGGUGGGGUAAAGUCCUACCAAGGCGACGAUCCGUAACUGGUCUGAGAGGAUGAUCAGUCACACUGGAACUGAGACACGGUCCAGGCUCCUACGGGAGGCAGCAGUGGGGAAUAUUGGACAAUGGGCGAAAGCCUGAUCCAGCCAUGCCGCGUGUGUGAAGAAGGUCUUCGGAUUGUAAAGCACUUUAAGUUGGGAGGAAGGGCAGUAAGUUAAUACCUUGCUGUUUUGACGUUACCAACAGAAUAAGCACCGGCUAACUUCGUG
This 484-nucleotide ribosomal RNA is filed under the name uncultured bacterium. RNAcentral describes it as "partial 16S ribosomal RNA". It matches the Rfam family "Bacterial small subunit ribosomal RNA", at positions 30 to 507 of the family's 1533-position model. The record is from RNAcentral.